AUUGAACGCUGGCGGCAGGCCUAACACAUGCAAGUCGGACGGUAGCACAGAGGAGCUUGCUCCUCGGGUGACGAGUGGCGGACGGGUGAGUAAUGUCUGGGGAUCUGCCCGAUAGAGGGGGAUAACCACUGGAAACGGUGGCUAAUACCGCAUGACGUCGCAAGACCAGAGGGGGACCUUCGGGCCUCUCACUAUCGGAUGAACCCAGAUGGGAUUAGCUAGUAGGCGGGGUAACGGCCCACCUAGGCGACGAUCCCUAGCUGGUCUGAGAGGAUGACCAGCCACACUGGAACUGAGACACGGGCCAGACUCCUACGGGAGGCAGCAGUGGGGAAUAUUGCACAAUGGGCGCAAGCCUGAUGCAGCCAUGCCGCGUGUAUGAAGAAGGCCUUCGGGUUGUAAAGUACUUUCAGCGGGGAGGAAGGCGAUGUGGUUAAUAACCGCGUCGAUUGACGCUACCCGCAGAAGAAGCACCGGCUAACUCCGUGCCAGCCGCCGCCGUAA
Molecule: ribosomal RNA, 504 nt
Filed under: uncultured bacterium
Lineage: Bacteria
Description: partial 16S ribosomal RNA
Rfam family: Bacterial small subunit ribosomal RNA
Source: RNAcentral